Molecule: ribosomal RNA, 467 nt
Filed under: uncultured bacterium
Lineage: Bacteria
Description: partial 16S ribosomal RNA
Rfam family: Bacterial small subunit ribosomal RNA
Source: RNAcentral
GACGAACGCUGGCGGCGUGCUUAACACAUGCCAGUCGAACGGAAAGGCCCUGCUUUUGUGGGGUGCUCGAGUGGCGAAAGGGUGAGUAACACGUGAGUAACCUGCCCUUGACUUUGGGAUAACUUCAGGAAACUGGGGCUAAUACCGGAUAGGAGCUCCUGCUGCAUGGUGGGGGUUGGAAAGUUUCGGCGGUUGGGGAUGGACUCGCGGCUUAUCAGCUUGGUGGUGGGGUAGUGGCUUACCAAGGCUUUGACGGGUAGCCGGCCUGAGAGGGUGACCGGCCACAUUGGGACUGAGAUACGGCCCAGACUCCUACGGGAGGCAGCAGUGGGGAAUAUUGCACAAUGGGCGGAAGCCUGAUGCAGCAACGCCGCGUGCGGGAUGACGGCCUUCGGGUUGUAAACCGCUUUCGCCUGUGACGAAGCGUGAGUGACGGUAAUGGGUAAAGAAGCACCGGCUAACUACGU